Clostridium sp. CAG:253 is the source of this 72-nucleotide non-coding RNA. Lineage: Bacteria; Bacillati; Bacillota; Clostridia; Eubacteriales; Clostridiaceae. The record is from Rfam.
GCUCCGUUGGUCUAGCGGUCAGGACACAUGACUUUCUCUCAUGUAACACCGGUUCAAAUCCGGUACGGAGUG